AUUGAACGCUGGCGGCAUGCCUUACACAUGCAAGUCGAACGGCAGCACGGGAGCUUGCUCCUGGUGGCGAGUGGCGAACGGGUGAGUAAUACAUCGGAACGUACCCUGAAGUGGGGGAUAACGUAGCGAAAGUUACGCUAAUACCGCAUAUUCUGUGAGCAGGAAAGAGGGGGAUCGCAAGACCUCUUGCUUUAGGAGCGGCCGAUGUCGGAUUAGCUAGUUGGUGAGGUAAAGGCUCACCAAGGCGACGAUCCGUAGCGGGUCUGAGAGGAUGAUCCGCCACACUGGGACUGAGACACGGCCCAGACUCCUACGGGAGGCAGCAGUGGGGAAUUUUGGACAAUGGGCGCAAGCCUGAUCCAGCCAUGCCGCGUGAGUGAAGAAGGCCUUGGUUGUAAAGCUCUUCGUGGGAGAAAGUUGCUUCGGUUAAUACCUGGAGUAGAUGACGGUA
RNAcentral lists this ribosomal RNA (451 nucleotides) under uncultured bacterium. Its description in RNAcentral is "bacterial SSU rRNA". It matches the Rfam family "Bacterial small subunit ribosomal RNA", at positions 30 to 477 of the family's 1533-position model. The record is from RNAcentral.